Long non-coding RNA from Plodia interpunctella (Indianmeal moth), 721 nucleotides. RefSeq lists it as uncharacterized. Lineage: Eukaryota; Metazoa; Arthropoda; Insecta; Lepidoptera; Pyralidae. The record is from RefSeq and is a predicted model, not a curated record. The transcript is spliced from 2 exons.
AAAUGCAAAAAAAUUGUACAUUUUAGAAAACUUUAACGUCUUAAGCUAGAAAAAAUAUUUAGACAUUUUAUCUAUAUUUAAAAAGAAUUUAUAAUUUUUAUAUACUAAAACAGGUAACAACCCAUUAUAUAAAUAAAUGUAUUUUUUGCAUAAUUACUAAAAAAGAAAUAAUUUAUAAUUCGAAGUCAUUUUUUUUUCAUACAUUUGAAAAUGUCCUAUACAACCGUAAUCAACUGAUUGUGAAAGGAGGAAAAUAGAUUACAAGCUAUAUUAUACAGUAAAUAUUUUUUCUUUAUGAAGAAUAUCAUAUAUUUCGAUAUUUUAUAGUAAUAUAAUGAAUUAUUUUAGUAAAAACUAAUUUAAAUAAUAGUUUUGGCGCCGUCUAUAAAAUCUUUCGUAUUUGUUAUUCAUCUUUGUGAACACAAAAAAGAGCAGAAAAUGAAUUUUAUUUCUUGCAUCAUUACAACCAUAGACAACAUCAGUAGGUCUUAAAUGCUUUGCGUUAUGGCCAUUUUGUUCGUGUUCAGUUUAGCAACAAUGUGCAUCUCUUAUAAUUGUGCAGUGAAAAAUCAACAAAAAUUAGUUCAUUUUGAUGACUUCAGUUUCAAACACUUUGAAAAUGCCCUUAUCACCAGCGGACAGACAACGUUUAUACAGAGAACGUCUCAAAGAGAAUCAUCCAGAUAAAUACGAAGAAAUGCAAUGGCGAAAUCGUGAGAGA